Gossypium arboreum is the source of this 1197-nucleotide long non-coding RNA. RefSeq lists it as uncharacterized. The record is from RefSeq and is a predicted model, not a curated record. NCBI's taxonomy places the organism in Eukaryota, Viridiplantae, Streptophyta, Magnoliopsida, Malvales, Malvaceae. The transcript has 2 exons.
CAAAUUGAAUACAACUUUACAAAUUGGAUAAUGCUGAAAUUUCAAGGAUAAUGGUAGCAAACAUUGAAGAGUCUUACACGGCAAGGAAAAAAUGGGCUGAUUAUGUCUAUAUAUAUGUAUGUAUAAUUUAUGCAUGUGAGUGCUGAAAAAUUAGCUAGUGUUGAGAAAAAAAAAAGUGUUGUGAGUAUAGAAAGAUAAACUAGCUGCAGCUAGUAUUGAGAAAAAAAUAAAGAGAGUUUGUAUUGUAUUUUAUUUGUGUAUAAUAAAAUUAGUAUUUGAGUUAUUUUUUUUUAUUACGUUUCCAACAACCUUAAGGACGUUUGCCCUUCCAAUGGUCCAGCUCUGAACUCCGAUGCCGGAAAGGAACAGGUCUCCAAUCCAAGCAUCGUUGAACCAGCUUCGGCGGGGAUGAGGGAUCCUUUUCGCCCAUGGAUGAUUAUGGAACAGAAAUGGCGCCGAAACUAGAAGGAAAAUCAAAAUCAAAAGUCGAAACUUCUGGAUAAAGAAUUAAACAAAUCUCAUUUUGAGGUAUUAAUUUCACUGGAUAGUGGGGCUGCUAAUUUAGGGGAUAAAUUUUAAGGGUUUAAAGGAAUUUCUUUCCAUAAAGGAGAGUUUUUAGAAAAAUCUAGGUGUUAAGUCUGUAGGACCGACUGUGGGGGCAUUUAAUGGGAAAAAUAAGGGUGAUCAGCAUGGGCCAGUCAAGUGGCGUGAAGCCCAAAGGAUCAAACUCGAAUUUGUUAGUUAAUACUAACAAGCCUGCUAUGGGUAAUGACUUGCAUGUUCAAAUUAAUGCUGCAAAGUCUACAAGCGAUUCCAAUUAGCCGAAAAAGGUUGUCGUUGCCCGGGCUACUAUUGACCCAGCACCUUUCCUAGAUGACAGCAUUUCAUAGGAAAUGACGCUUUUAAACAGACAAAUAACGGUUCUAAAAGGAAUGAAUCAGGGAGUAAAGGAAAAUAUGUUCAAAGAGGGAAGACCAAUAACAAAACCAUCCGGGGGUGAGGGGAACAUUUUAAAGUUGUGAGAAAUUCUCAUAUUCCCCUCCCAGAAGCCAUGUCUACCUUAGCUACAACCAUUGGCUCUCAAGUUGUAGUUGAAGUAGAUAAGUCUGAUAUGUAAUGACCCAAUAGUUGGGUAAUCGAAAAGUGUAAUUUGGGUUUUUAUUUUCGUGAAACGAAUUCUUAGAUAUUUAUUAAAAA